GUCUCCAAGCCAGUCACAAGAGCAUCCCUGUUCUCUGCUGAAACCCUGUGAAUCGUGUUUACUCUCAGCAUCUCUGUCCAUAUUCUGAUUUUCCAAACUCUUGUCAGAAGAGCACAUGAAAGAAAAUAAAAAUCACCUUCAUGUUUACAUAAGAAAUGACAGAAGCAGUAAAAACGCUUCCGAUAGAUUCUGGGUCUCACUGCGUAGGAUUUGUGAAAUACAAGGAUGGGUGUAGCCGUCAAAUUAGCCACUUUUCUGAAGACUGAACUUGGAGUUUGGACUUCUCCUUUGUUUAGGACGGUCUGCUAGUUUGCUGAUAACUGUCACCAAAUUCUGGAAACAGCGAAGGAAACAGUCUCAUCUCUCAAGUGUCAAUAAUAUUCAUGUUGUUUUGUUGUGAGGGUUGAACAAAACUUUAAUAAUCCAAGAUAUCACUGUUACCUUGUCAGACCAGAGUGCCAUAGGGCAUAAGAUGUAGUGGGUAGCCAUUCCAGCUUGGAUCUGGAAGUUCCAACCCCCAUUGAGACUCUGGCAACUGUCACGCCUACGAGGCGGGGUGAGGGGAAGCGCUGGAAACCCGAGAG
This is a non-coding RNA of Peromyscus maniculatus bairdii (prairie deer mouse), 584 nucleotides long. Lineage: Eukaryota; Metazoa; Chordata; Mammalia; Rodentia; Cricetidae. The record is from RefSeq and is a predicted model, not a curated record.